GAUGAACGCUGGCGGCGUGCCUAAUACAUGCAAGUCGAGCUAACGGACGAGAAGCUUGCUUCUCUGAUGUUAGCGGCGGACGGGUGAGUAACACGUGGAUAACCUACCUAUAAGACUGGGAUAACUUCGGGAAACCGGAGCUAAUACCGGAUAAUAUUUUGAACCGCAUGGUUCAAAAGUGAAAGACGGUCUUGCUGUCACUUAUAGAUGGAUCCGCGCUGCAUUAGCUAGUUGGUAAGGUAACGGCUUACCAAGGCAACGAUGCAUAGCCGACCUGAGAGGGUGAUCGGCCACACUGGAACUGAGACACGGUCCAGACUCCUACGGGAGGCAGCAGUAGGGAAUCUUCCGCAAUGGGCGAAAGCCUGACGGAGCAACGCCGCGUGAGUGAUGAAGGUCUUCGGAUCGUAAAACUCUGUUAUUAGGGAAGAACAUAUGUGUAAGUAACUGUGCACAUCUUGACGGUACCUAAUCAGAAAGCCACGGCUAACUACGUGCCAGCAGCCGCGGUAAUACGUAGGUGGCAAGCGUUAUCCGGAAUUAUUGGGCGUAAAGCGCGCGUAGGCGGUUUUUUAAGUCUGAUGUGAAAGCCCACGGCUCAACCGUGGAGGGUCAUUGGAAACUGGAAAACUUGAGUGCAGAAGAGGAAAGUGGAAUUCCAUGUGUAGCGGUGAAAUGCGCAGAGAUAUGGAGGAACACCAGUGGCGAAGGCGACUUUCUGGUCUGUAACUGACGCUGAUGUGCGAAAGCGUGGGGAUCAAACAGGAUUAGAUACCCUGGUAGUCCACGCCGUAAACGAUGAGUGCUAAGUGUUAGGGGGUUUCCGCCCCUUAGUGCUGCAGCUAACGCAUUAAGCACUCCGCCUGGGGAGUACGACCGCAAGGUUGAAACUCAAAGGAAUUGACGGGGACCCGCACAAGCGGUGGAGCAUGUGGUUUAAUUCGAAGCAACGCGAAGAACCUUACCAAAUCUUGACAUCCUUUGACAACUCUAGAGAUAGAGCCUUCCCCUUCGGGGGACAAAGUGACAGGUGGUGCAUGGUUGUCGUCAGCUCGUGUCGUGAGAUGUUGGGUUAAGUCCCGCAACGAGCGCAACCCUUAAGCUUAGUUGCCAUCAUUAAGUUGGGCACUCUAAGUUGACUGCCGGUGACAAACCGGAGGAAGGUGGGGAUGACGUCAAAUCAUCAUGCCCCUUAUGAUUUGGGCUACACACGUGCUACAAUGGACAAUACAAAGGGCAGCGAAACCGCGAGGUCAAGCAAAUCCCAUAAAGUUGUUCUCAGUUCGGAUUGUAGUCUGCAACUCGACUACAUGAAGCUGGAAUCGCUAGUAAUCGUAGAUCAGCAUGCUACGGUGAAUACGUUCCCGGGUCU
This 1372-nucleotide ribosomal RNA is filed under the name uncultured bacterium. Its description in RNAcentral is "bacterial SSU rRNA". It matches the Rfam family "Bacterial small subunit ribosomal RNA", at positions 28 to 1381 of the family's 1533-position model. The record is from RNAcentral.